GGAGGGAUGGCCGAGUGGUCGAAGGCGGUCGACUCGAAAUCGAUUAGGCAGUGAGAACUGCCUCGUGGGUUCGAAUCCCACUCUCUCCGCCA
Molecule: transfer RNA, 92 nt
Filed under: Synergistales bacterium
Lineage: Bacteria; Thermotogati; Synergistota; Synergistia; Synergistales
Description: tRNA-Ser
Rfam family: tRNA
About the family: Transfer RNA (tRNA) molecules are approximately 80 nucleotides in length. Their secondary structure includes four short double-helical elements and three loops (D, anti-codon, and T loops).
Source: RNAcentral